AACGAACGCUGGCGGCAUGCCUAACACAUGCAAGUCGAACGAGACCUUCGGGGUCUAGUGGCGCACGGGUGCGUAACGCGUGGGAACCUGCCCUUAGGUUCGGAAUAACUCCCCGAAAGGGGUGCUAAUACCGGAUAAUGUCUUCGGACCAAAGAUUUAUCGCCUUUGGAUGGGCCCGCGUUGGAUUAGCUAGUUGGUAGGGUAAAAGCCUACCAAGGCGACGAUCCAUAGCUGGUCUGAGAGGAUGAUCAGCCACACUGGGACUGAGACACGGCCCAGACUCCUACGGGAGGCAGCAGUGGGGAAUAUUGGACAAUGGGCGAAAGCCUGAUCCAGCAAUGCCGCGUGAGUGAUGAAGGCCUUAGGGUUGUAAAGCUCUUUUACCCGGGAUGAUAAUGACAGUACCGGGAGAAUAAGCUCCGGCUAACUCCGUG
RNAcentral lists this ribosomal RNA (434 nucleotides) under uncultured bacterium. Its description in RNAcentral is "partial 16S ribosomal RNA". It matches the Rfam family "Bacterial small subunit ribosomal RNA", at positions 29 to 507 of the family's 1533-position model. The record is from RNAcentral.